GUGAACGCUGGCGGUAGGCCUAACACAUGCAAGUCGAACGGCAGCACAGUAAGAGCUUGCUCUUACGGGUGGCGAGUGGCGGACGGGUGAGGAAUACAUCGGAAUCUACUUUUUCGUGGGGGAUAACGUAGGGAAACUUACGCUAAUACCGCAUACGACCUACGGGUGAAAGCAGGGGAUCUUCGGACCUUGCGCGAUUGAAUGAGCCGAUGUCGGAUUAGCUAGUUGGCGGGGUAAAGGCCCACCAAGGCGACGAUCCGUAGCUGGUCUGAGAGGAUGAUCAGCCACACUGGAACUGAGACACGGUCCAGACUCCUACGGGAGGCAGCAGUGGGGAAUAUUGGACAAUGGGCGCAAGCCUGAUCCAGCCAUACCGCGUGGGUGGAGAAGGCCUUCGGGUUGUAAAGCCCUUUUGUUGGGAAAGAAAAGCAGCAGGUUAAUACCCCGCUGUUCUGACGGUACCCAAAGAAUAAGCACCGGCUAACUUCGUG
Molecule: ribosomal RNA, 491 nt
Filed under: uncultured bacterium
Lineage: Bacteria
Description: partial 16S ribosomal RNA
Rfam family: Bacterial small subunit ribosomal RNA
Source: RNAcentral